This 643-nucleotide ribosomal RNA is filed under the name uncultured Streptococcus sp. RNAcentral's name for it is "bacterial SSU rRNA". It matches the Rfam family "Bacterial small subunit ribosomal RNA", at positions 8 to 635 of the family's 1533-position model. The record is from RNAcentral. Lineage: Bacteria; Bacillati; Bacillota; Bacilli; Lactobacillales; Streptococcaceae.
AGGGUUUGAUCCUGGCUCAGGACGAACGCUGGCGGCGUGCCUAAUACAUGCAAGUAGAACGCUGAAGGAGGAGCUUGCUCUUUCCGGAUGAGUUGCGAACGGGUGAGUAACGCGUAGGUAACCUGCCUGGUAGCGGGGGAUAACUAUUGGAAACGAUAGCUAAUACCGCAUAACAGUAGAUAUCGCAUGAUAUUUGCUUGAAAGGUGCAAUUGCACCACUACCAGAUGGACCUGCGUUGUAUUAGCUAGUUGGUGAGGUAACGGCUCACCAAGGCAACGAUACAUAGCCGACCUGAGAGGGUGAUCGGCCACACUGGGACUGAGACACGGCCCAGACUCCUACGGGAGGCAGCAGUAGGGAAUCUUCGGCAAUGGACGGAAGUCUGACCGAGCAACGCCGCGUGAGUGAAGAAGGUUUUCGGAUCGUAAAGCUCUGUUGUAAGAGAAGAACGAGUGUGAGAGUGGAAAGUUCACACUGUGACGGUAUCUUACCAGAAAGGGACGGCUAACUACGUGCCAGCAGCCGCGGUAAUACGUAGGUCCCGAGCGUUGUCCGGAUUUAUUGGGCGUAAAGCGAGCGCAGGCGGUUAGAUAAGUCUGAAGUUAAAGGCUGUGGCUUAACCAUAGUACGCUUUGGAAACUG